This 369-nucleotide ribosomal RNA is filed under the name bacterium A4S_VP6_F3. RNAcentral's name for it is "partial 16S ribosomal RNA". It matches the Rfam family "Bacterial small subunit ribosomal RNA", at positions 337 to 712 of the family's 1533-position model. The record is from RNAcentral.
UACUACGGGAGGCAGCUGUGGGGAAUCUUGGACAAUGGGGGCAACCCUGAUCCACCCAUGCCGCGUGAGUGAUGAAGGCCUUAGGGUCGUAAAGCUCUUUCCCCUGUGAAGAUAAUGACGGUAGCAGGUAAAGAAACCCCGGCUAACUCCGUGCCAACCGCCGCGGUAAUACGGAGGGGGUUAGCGUUGUUCGAAAUUACUGGGCGUAAAGCGCACGUAGGUGGAUCAAAAAAUUGGGGGUAAAAACCCGGGGUUUCAACCCCGGAACUGCCUCAAAAAUUUAUGGUCUAUAAUUUCAAAAGAGGGGGUGUGGGGAAUCCCGAGUGUUAGAAGGUGAAAUUCCUUAAAAUUUUCCGGAAAAAACACCCC